GACGGAGGAUGCAAGCGUUAUCCGGAAUGAUUGGGCGUAAAGCGUCCGCAGGUGGCAGUUCAAGUCUGCUGUCAAAGACCGGGGCUUAACUUCGGAAAGGCAGUGGAAACUGAACAGCUAGAGUAUGGUAGGGGGAGAGGGAAUUCCUGGUGUAGCGGUGAAAUGCGGAGAGAUCAGGAAGAACAUCGGUGGCGAAGGCGCUCUGCUGGACCAUAACUGACACUCAGGGACGAAAGCUAGGGGAGCGAAUGGG
Molecule: ribosomal RNA, 253 nt
Filed under: uncultured bacterium
Lineage: Bacteria
Description: partial 16S ribosomal RNA
Rfam family: Bacterial small subunit ribosomal RNA
Source: RNAcentral